UGGGGAGCGAACAGGAUUAGAUACCCUGGUAGUCCACGCCGUAAACGUUGGGCGCUAGAUGUAGGGACCUUUCCACGGUUUCUGUGUCGUAGCUAACGCAUUAAGCGCCCCGCCUGGGGAGUACGGCCGCAAGGCUAAAACUCAAAGGAAUUGACGGGGGCCCGCACAAGCGGCGGAGCAUGCGGAUUAAUUCGAUGCAACGCGAAGAACCUUACCAAGGCUUGACAUACACCGGAAACGGCCAGAGAUGGUCGCCCCCUUGUGGUCGGUGUACAGGUGGUGCAUGGUUGUCGUCAGCUCGUGUCGUGAGAUGUUGGGUUAAGUCCCGCAACGAGCGCAACCCUCGUUCUAUGUUGCCAGCGCGUUAUGGCGGGGACUCAUAGGAGACUGCCGGGGUCAACUCGGAGGAAGGUGGGGAUGACGUCAAAUCAUCAUGCCCCUUAUGUCUUGGGCUUCACGCAUGCUACAAUGGCCGGUACAAAGGGCUGCGAUACCGUAAGGUGGAGCGAAUCCCAAAAAGCCGGUCUCAGUUCGGAUUGAGGUCUGCAACUCGACCUCAUGAAGUCGGAGUCGCUAGUAAUCGCAGAUCAGCAACGCUGCGGUGAAUACGUUCCCGGGCCUUGUACACACCGCCCGUCAAGUCAUGAAAGUCGGUAACACCCGAAGCCGGUGGCCUAACCCUUGUGGAAGG
RNAcentral lists this ribosomal RNA (691 nucleotides) under Curtobacterium sp. Its description in RNAcentral is "bacterial SSU rRNA". It matches the Rfam family "Bacterial small subunit ribosomal RNA", at positions 762 to 1450 of the family's 1533-position model. The record is from RNAcentral. Lineage: Bacteria; Bacillati; Actinomycetota; Actinomycetes; Micrococcales; Microbacteriaceae.